AAUUCCAACACCUGCCAUCUUUGUAGAGAAUGAAUACAUAAGGCAAAUGUAAAAGCAAACAUUCAUACAUUUGAGCCUGACAGAAGCCAGACUGGAGUGUUAACAUCAUGCAGAGUUGUCAACAGCAACAUGUCCUUUGUGAUCAUGGAGAGAGACUGAGGGUGAUGUUUCAUGCAUCUGAUGGAGAUGACCAUCCUCCACAGCCCAGUACAAUACAUAUCUGUUCACAGAUCAGGGCACCUUUCCAAGGAGUCCUUGAAAAUACAGGACAGCUCCCCAUCCCAUCUGCCAUAACAAUAGACGUUUUGCUGGUCCAGUAAUAAAAUACGCUUCUGCAUCA
Molecule: long non-coding RNA, 340 nt
Organism: Hemicordylus capensis (graceful crag lizard)
Lineage: Eukaryota; Metazoa; Chordata; Lepidosauria; Squamata; Cordylidae
Exons: 3
Source: RefSeq, a predicted model, not a curated record